AUCCGCCAACGCAUCCGAUCCCGCUACACCCUCUCCCCCGCCCACACGCACGCGCACACCGCCGUGCACAAGCCCUCGCCCUCGCCCUCGCCGUCGCCACCACACCCCACUGCCCACAGCGCCCCCGCGCCUGCAGAGCCAUGUCCGUCGACAGCAGCAGCACGCACCGGCACCGCAGCGUCGCCGCGCGCCUGGUGCGCCUCGCGGCUGCCGGCGCCGCAGUCAUCGCUGCUGUCGGCACCGCGGCCGCGUGGGCACACGCCGGUGCGGUGCAGCACCGCUGCAUCCACGACGCGAUGCAGGCACGCGUGCGGCAGUCGGUGGCGCGCCACCACACGGCCCCCGGCGCCGUGUCCGCGGUGGGCCUGUCGUACGUUACUCUCGACACCGCGGCCGCCGCAGAUCGCCGGCCGGGCAGCGCGCCCACAGUCGUGCGCGCCGCGAACUGGGGCGCGCUGCGCAUCGCCGUCUCCACCGAGGACCUCACCGACCCCGCCUACCACUGCGCUCGCGUCGGGCAGCGUAUUAGCACGCGCGAUGGCCGCUUCGCCAUCUGCACCGCCGAGGACAUCCUCACCGACGAGAAGCGCGACAUCCUGGUCAAAUACCUCAUCCCGCAGGCGCUGCAGCUGCACACGGAGCGGCUGAAGGUGCGGCAGGUGCAGGACAAGUGGAAGGUGACGGGCAUGGGCAACGAGAUCUGUGGCCACUUCAAGGUGCCGCCGGCGCACAUCACCGAUGGCCUGAGCAACACCGACUUCGUGAUGUACGUCGCCUCCGUGCCGAGCGAGGGGAUGUGCUGGCGUGGGCCACGACCUGCCAGGUGUUCUCUGACGGCCAUCCAGCCGUGGGCGUCAUCAACAUCCCCGCGGCGAACAUUGCGUCGCGGUACGACCAGCUGGUGACGCGUGUCGUCACGCACGAGAUGGCGCACGCGCUCGGCUUCAGCGUCGUCUUCUUCCGAGACGCCGGCAUCCUGGAGAGCAUUUCGAACGUUCGGCACAAGGACUUCGAUGUUCCCGUGAUCAACAGCAGCACGGCGGUGGCGAAGGCGCGCGAGCAGUACGGCUGCGGCACCUUGGAGUAUCUGGAGAUGGAGGACCAGGGCGGUGCAGGCUCCGCCGGGUCGCACAUCAAGAUGCGCAACGCGCAGGACGAGCUCAUGGCGCCUGCCUCGGAUGCGGGGUACUACAGCGCCCUGACCAUGGCCAUCUUCCAGGACCUCGGCUUCUACCAGGCGGACUUCAGCAAGGCCGAGGAGAUGCCGUGGGGCCGGAACGCCGGCUGCGCCUUCCUCAGCGAGAAGUGCAUGGAGGACGGCAUCACGAAGUGGCCGGCGAUGUUCUGCAAUGAGAACGAGGUGACUAUGCGCUGCCACACCGGUCGUCUCAGCCUUGGCGUGUGCGGUUUAUCCUCUAGCGAUAUUCCCUUGCCGCCGUACUGGCAGUACUUCACGGACCCGCUCCUCGCCGGCAUCUCCGCCUUCAUGGACUACUGCCCUGUCGUGGUGCCCUUCGGUGAUGGCAGCUGCGCGCAGCGUGCGUCUGAAGCGGGCGCACCAUUCAAAGGCUUCAACGUCUUCUCCGACGCGGCGCGCUGCAUCGAUGGCGCCUUCAGGCCGAAGACGACCGAAACCGUAACAAAUUCGUACGCCGGACUGUGCGCCAACGUGCGGUGCGACACGGCCACGCGCACGUACAGCGUGCAGGUGCACGGCGGCAGCGGCUACGCCAACUGCACGCCGGGCCUCAGAGUUGAGCUGAGCACCGUGAGCAGCGCCUUCGAGGAGGGCGGCUACAUCACGUGCCCGCCGUACGUGGAGGUGUGCCAGGGCAACGUGCAGGCUGCCAAGGACGGCGGCAACGCCGCGGCUGGUCGCCGUGGUCCGCGCGCCGCGGCGACGGCGCUGCUGGUGGCCGCGCUGCUGGCCGUGGCGCUCUAGACGGUGGAUAGGACGGGUGCUGAUGGCGUGUCCCCUGCUCCCCCCUCCCUCCCUCCCUCUCGUUGUCUCUCGGAAGAGCUCCACGCUGUCCUUUCAUCUCCUCGCCUGUUCUACGCUUGCUUCGCUGCGCCGCUGCACCGGGCCGGUCCUCGCCGACCCUCGCCUGCCCUCUCCCCCUCCUCUCUCCCGCCACCCCACCCCGCUUCCCGCUGCGCACGGUGCCUGUGCGCUUGGAGAGGUGCAGCAGCGCGCGGGAGCUGAGGGAGGGAGGGGGUGUCGUGCGCGGGUGCGCAUGCCUUCUUUCACUUCCUUAUUUGUCUUCUAUUUGUUCCCUGCGACACCCGCACACCCCCACCCGCUGGCGGCCAUCCGCGGCAUCCGCGGGUGCGUGCGCGGUGUGUCUGCCUUCUCUCUCCUCCUUUCGCUCUGUUCCCCUGUCCUCGGACUCCCCGGCGCCAGCGUGAGCUCCGCAGUCACCGCCCACCCGGCGCUCUGACGCGGUCAGCGCCACCCCACCCCACCCCCUCUCCCCCAUUCGUGCGUGUCUCUUCUCGCUUUGUUUUUCUGUUUCCUCUUGUAGCAGGGCGCGCCGCGUUGUGGGAGCGGCGGCGGCCUCUGCGCGCGGACGGCGUGCAGGUCGGCCGGGAGAGUCUCCCGCCAGCGCCCGCGCAGCGCAGAGCCGUCGCCCACCCACCGUCUCCUCCCACCUUCGCAUGCCGCCGCACUAGGUGCACGUCGUCGGCACGACCACCGAGGUACCUCCCCCACCCCGGCCCUCCGGCCCCGCGCCCCUGCCUCUGUGCCGUGCCGUGCCCUGGACUCCCUCUCCUCCACCUCUCCUCGCUUCUGUCGC
This 2795-nucleotide unclassified non-coding RNA is filed under the name Leishmania donovani. RNAcentral describes it as "gene:LdHU3.10.0720(CDS-product:GP63_leishmanolysi n)". The record is from RNAcentral. Lineage: Eukaryota; Euglenozoa; Kinetoplastea; Trypanosomatida; Trypanosomatidae.